Molecule: long non-coding RNA, 203 nt
Organism: Bufo bufo (common toad)
Lineage: Eukaryota; Metazoa; Chordata; Amphibia; Anura; Bufonidae
Exons: 3
Source: RefSeq, a predicted model, not a curated record
UCCUAGAACUCGCCAACAAGAUGAUUGAGCUGCUGACUGGAGAGGUUCCUAUAAGGUGUCAGGAUGUCACCGUCUAUUUCUCCAUGGAGGAGUGGGAGUAUUUAGAAGAACACAAAGAUCUGUACAAGGACGCCAUGAUGGAGGAUCUCCGGCCCCUCAUCCCAACAGAUAAGGAAGAGAUAAGAACACCAGAGAGAUGUCCC